RNAcentral lists this long non-coding RNA (579 nucleotides) under Capsicum annuum. Its description in RNAcentral is "long non-coding RNA (CANN_LNC001583)". The record is from RNAcentral. Lineage: Eukaryota; Viridiplantae; Streptophyta; Magnoliopsida; Solanales; Solanaceae.
GGCCUUAUACAAUCCUUAGUAUCGACAUUAAAUCUAACAUAUAACCUACAAUGUGGAAGAAAUUUCAAAAGAAAUAAUGACAAAAAACGCAGAUGCAUCAAUAAACUUAUUGCACCCUAGUCUUUCCUCUUGGCAAAAUCUACUAGUCCAGCUAAAAAUGCUCCAUCAAUUGCUAGAAGUUGGCUGCAUCUCAGAAGGUACCUAAUAAUUUGCCAACCAAAACUAGAGCCAAGGUGAGCGGUUAGCAUCAGCACUUGCCACCUUCUAUCUUGCACACAAACUAUUGAUCACCACGUGACCAAGCAUAAUGACCAAAAGUAUUGGUGCCUAAUCUGGCCAUCCCUCCACUUUAGCUUGGUAGGAGAACGUCCAUAAUGCACCCCGUCACUGCAUCUGUUAUCACAGUGCCAUGGAUAAGUCAUGUCGAAAUCAUCAAUGACUUGAUCAACUAAACUAUAUGCCCUAAACUUAUCCGAGACUAUCUCAUUGAAGGCUUCCAUUUUAUUUGGAUUGAAAUCUCAUGUACUAGAGUCUCCACCAGCGACGACCAUAGUCCUAUAUAUGACUUUUGGUGGUGUC